This 466-nucleotide ribosomal RNA is filed under the name uncultured bacterium. RNAcentral's name for it is "partial 16S ribosomal RNA". It matches the Rfam family "Bacterial small subunit ribosomal RNA", at positions 28 to 507 of the family's 1533-position model. The record is from RNAcentral.
GACGAACGCUGGCGGCGUGCUUAACACAUGCAAGUCGAACGGAAAGGCCCUGCUUGCAGGGUCCUCGAGUGGCGAACGGGUGAGUAACACGUGGGUGAUCUGCCCUGCACUUCGGGAUAAGCUUGGGAAACUGGGUCUAAUACCGGAUAGGAACCAUCUUUAGUGUGGUGGUUGGAAAGUUUUUUCGGUGUAGGAUGAGCUCGCGGCCUAUCAGCUUGUUGGUGGGGUAAUGGCCUACCAAGGCGGCGACGGGUAGCCGGCCUGAGAGGGUGUACGGCCACAUUGGGACUGAGAUACGGCCCAGACUCCUACGGGAGGCAGCAAUGGGGAAUAUUGCACAAUGGGCGCAAGCCUGAUGCAGCGACGCCGCGUGGGGGAUGAAGGCCUUCGGGUUGUAAACUCCUUUCGCUAGGGACGAAGCUUUGUUGUGACGGUACCUAGAUAAGAAGCACCGGCUAACUACGUG